RNAcentral lists this long non-coding RNA (684 nucleotides) under Cricetulus griseus (Chinese hamster). RNAcentral describes it as "lncRNA (ENSCGRG00015016139.2)". Lineage: Eukaryota; Metazoa; Chordata; Mammalia; Rodentia; Cricetidae. The record is from RNAcentral.
GGUGGGCCCGUGCGAGCGCGCGGCGUGGAAGGGAGCAUGUACUGUUUCCUAGCGUGUAAGGUGAAACGAAUGCACACGACCCCCCGCCCCACGCGCGGAUGUGUCCCCCUCAACCAGCCGGGGUUGCUUCCUCCCUCAGUCCGCGGACGGCGCUGAAGCAGAGAGAAUGGCUUCGAAUUGCCACAACCUGAAGGGGAGAUUCAUCAAGGAAAGGUAACAUACCUGCUAAAGACCUUAAGAAAAGGGAAGUUGAGAACCAAGAAGUCUUUAAAAUAACUUCACUACCGGGUGUCACACAGGCUGGCUUCCCGAGUGCAACUUUAGAGUUUUUAAUAGGUUCCAUAAAGAGCUACGUAACCCACAGUCACCAGUAGAGGGCUCUCCAGAGCUACAGCCCCGAUUUGCCCUCUAGCGGCGAUUCUGAACAGAGUGUGUUUAUGCAGACUUGGGGCCUUCGACUGGCAAAAAAGCAGUUUGAGCAGACAUCUGGAACCAUUAGGUUCAACCAGCCAGGAGAGGGGUUUUCGAAUAGUAGCAGACUGAAGAGAUCCUAUUGCCAGAAUGAGACAUUCUUUCAGAAAAAGAUGGAUCAUUGCUCAUUGAGACAUUUGAGAGAAUCCUCCUUCACUCCUAGUCCCACGUAUCUUGUUUUCCUAUUGGCCAACAGUACUUUAUUUAUCAACC